RNAcentral lists this ribosomal RNA (207 nucleotides) under uncultured bacterium. RNAcentral describes it as "partial 16S ribosomal RNA". It matches the Rfam family "Bacterial small subunit ribosomal RNA", at positions 568 to 774 of the family's 1533-position model. The record is from RNAcentral.
CAUGUAGGCGGAUUAAUAAGUUUGAAGUGAAAUCCUAUAGCUUAACUAUAGAACUGCUUUGAAAACUGUUAAUCUAGAAUGUGGGAGAGGUAGAUGGAAUUUCUGGUGUAGGGGUAAAAUCCGUAGAGAUCAGAAGGAAUACCGAUUGCGAAGGCGAUCUACUGGAACAUUAUUGACGCUGAGAUGCGAAAGUGUGGGGAGCAAACA